ACUCCUACGGGAGGCAGCAGUGGGGAAUAUUGCACAAUGGGCGCAAGCCUGAUGCAGCCAUGCCGCGUGUAUGAAGAAGGCCUUCGGGUUGUAAGUACUUUCAGCAGUGAGGAAGGUGGGUAUGUUAAUAGCAUACUCAUUUUGACGUUUAGCUGCAGAAGAAGCACCGGCUAACUCCGUGCCAGCAGCCGCGGUAAUACGGAGGGUGCGAGCGUUAAUCGGAAUUACUGGGCGUAAAGCGCAUGCAGGUGGUUUGUUAAGUCAGAUGUGAAAGCCGGGGCUCAACCUCGGAAUUGCAUUUGAAACUGGCAAACUAGAGUACUGUAGAGGGGGUAGAAUUUCAGGUGUAG
Molecule: ribosomal RNA, 350 nt
Filed under: uncultured bacterium
Lineage: Bacteria
Description: bacterial SSU rRNA
Rfam family: Bacterial small subunit ribosomal RNA
Source: RNAcentral